This 253-nucleotide ribosomal RNA is filed under the name uncultured bacterium. RNAcentral's name for it is "partial 16S ribosomal RNA". It matches the Rfam family "Bacterial small subunit ribosomal RNA", at positions 524 to 776 of the family's 1533-position model. The record is from RNAcentral.
UACGUAGGGGGCAAGCGUUAUCCGGAUUUACUGGGUGUAAAGGGAGCGUAGGCGGCAGGGCAAGCCUGAUGUGAAAGCCCGGGGCUCAACCCCGGGACUGCAUUGGGAACUGCCCCGCUCGAGUGCCGGAGGGGCAGGCGGAAUUCGUGGUGUAGCGGUGAAAUGCUUAGAUAUCGCGCAGAACCCCGAUUGCGAAGGCAGCGUACCGGCUCCACACUGACGCUGAGGCACGAAAGCGUGGGUAUCGAACAGG